CGGGAAGCCCUUCGGGGCAGGGAGACAGGUGGUGCAUGGUUGUCGUCAGCUCGUGUCGUGAGAUGUUAGGUUAAGUCCUGCAACGAGCGCAACCCUUAUCAUUAGUUGCUACCAUUAAGUUGAGCACUCUAGUGAGACUGCCCGGGUUAACCGGGAGGAAGGUGGGGAUGACGUCAAAUCAUCAUGCCCCUUAUGUCCAGGGCUACACACGUGCUACAAUGGUGAGUACAAUUAGAUGCGAACCCGCGAGGGGGAGCCAAACUAAAAAACUCAUCCCAGUUCGGAUUGUAGACUGAAACUCGCCUACAUGAAGCUGGAGUUGCUAGUAAUCGCGAAUCAGAAUGUCGCGGUGAAUACGUUCCCGGGCCUUGUACACACCGCCCGUCACACCAUGAGAGCUGGCAACACCCGAAGUCCGUGAGGUAACCGUAAGGAGCCAGCGGCCGAAGGUGGGGUCAGUGAUUGGGGUGAAGUCGUAACAAGGUAGCCGUAGGAGAACC
RNAcentral lists this ribosomal RNA (500 nucleotides) under uncultured bacterium. Its description in RNAcentral is "bacterial SSU rRNA". It matches the Rfam family "Bacterial small subunit ribosomal RNA", at positions 1009 to 1512 of the family's 1533-position model. The record is from RNAcentral.